GAGGGUAUAGCUUAGUGGUAGAGUGCGUGCUUAGCAUGCACAAGGUUCUGGGUUCAGUCCCCAGUACCUCCA
Molecule: transfer RNA, 72 nt
Filed under: Camelus bactrianus (Bactrian camel)
Lineage: Eukaryota; Metazoa; Chordata; Mammalia; Artiodactyla; Camelidae
Also listed under: 2 other names
Rfam family: tRNA
About the family: Transfer RNA (tRNA) molecules are approximately 80 nucleotides in length. Their secondary structure includes four short double-helical elements and three loops (D, anti-codon, and T loops).
Source: Rfam by way of RNAcentral